RNAcentral lists this unclassified non-coding RNA (416 nucleotides) under Hevea brasiliensis (rubber tree). Lineage: Eukaryota; Viridiplantae; Streptophyta; Magnoliopsida; Malpighiales; Euphorbiaceae. The record is from RNAcentral.
UGAAGAAGAACAUGAUGGUGGAUGGAUCAUACAGCUCGUACAUCGUGUUAAAAUCAGGAACCUCGGUGAUGUCAACCAGGUAAAUCACAGCAAAGUUCUUGAUCGUCUCCGCAACUGAAGACAACACCUCAUCCAUCUGCAUACAAGUAUCAUCCCAAUCAUGGCCAAAUCGAAUAAGUACAAGGCGUUCUUCUUCCGCAAGGAUAGCUUGAUCCACAGCCCAUCCAGAGUGAAGAUGUGGUAACAAAUACGACAUCUCUCUCUCAAAUAGUAGCUGAUUUCGAUCUUUUUAUGCAGAAAAAAUGAAGAAAAAAGAAACAGAGAAGAAGCUUACAGAAACAGAGUGCUGAGGUCGUUUCUUUUCAAAAACUCCGUUUUUCUCAUUUUUCUGAGCUGAAUAAUGUUAGGGCUACUCG